This 676-nucleotide long non-coding RNA is filed under the name Equus asinus (donkey). RNAcentral's name for it is "lncRNA (ENSEASG00005025494.1)". Lineage: Eukaryota; Metazoa; Chordata; Mammalia; Perissodactyla; Equidae. The record is from RNAcentral.
CUUCAGUCCAAUCUGGGCCCAACAGAGGGAAGUCCUUUGCCAAAUCCUAAGGUAGCAGGCGGGGAAGGGAAGGGGGUUUCUCCCAUUCUUAAUAUGUUUCAAAGACUGGAUUACUAGUUCCUAACUAGCACACCAGUACAGACAAGGUCUGUCUUUGCUCACCCCUUCCCUUUCUUCCUUGUCCCUCCAGCACGAGGUGGCAGCAUGAUGGCAGCCACCUCCCUCCCACAGGCCUCUCGGUCUCACCAGCACUUAGCCUGAAGGAGAGUGACCAUCCGUCCAGUGGCUGUACCGUUCUGUCCUGUCCCAGAAGCAGUGAGUGAAAGUUCCUGUUGCUUCACAUCAUGGCAGAUCUAGAGGUUAGAAGUCUAAAAUGGGUCUGCAGGACUGCGUUCCUUCUGGACACUCUGGGGGAAAUCCAUCCCCUUGACUUUUCCAGCUUCUAGAGGCCAUCUCUUUUCCUGGACCCACAUCACUCCAGCCUCUGCUUCCAUUAUCACGUCUCCUUCUCUGAUUCUGACCCUCUUGCCUCCCUCUUAUGAGGACCCUUGUGAUGACCUUGGCUCACCUGGAUAAUCCAGGGUAAUCUCCCCAUCUCAAGAUCCUUAAUUUAAUCACGUUUGCAAAGUCCCUUUAGACAUGUAAAAGAACACAUUCACAGGUUCUGGGAGUUAGG